GACGAACGCUGGCGGCGUGCUUAACACAUGCAAGUCGAACGGAAAGGCCCUGCUUUUGUGGGGUGCUCGAGUGGCGAACGGGUGAGUAACACGUGAGUAACCUGCCCUUGACUUUGGGAUAACUUCAGGAAACUGGGGCUAAUACCGGAUAGGAGCUCCUGCUGCAUGGUGGGGGUUGGAAAGUUUCGGCGGUUGGGGAUGGACUCGCGGCUUAUCAGCUUGUUGGUUGGGUAGUGGCUUACCAAGGCUUUGACGGGUAGCCGGCCUGAGAGGGUUAACGGGAAAAAUGGGACUGAGAGACGGAACAGACGGCAACGGGAGGCAGCAGUGGGGAAUAGGGCAAAAUGGGAGGAAGCCUGAGGAAGAAACGCAGCGUGCGGGAUGAAGGCCUUCGGGUUGUAAACCGAAUUAGCCUGUGACGAAGCGUGAGUGACGGUAAUGGGUAAAGAAGCAACGGCUAACUACGUG
Molecule: ribosomal RNA, 468 nt
Filed under: uncultured bacterium
Lineage: Bacteria
Description: partial 16S ribosomal RNA
Rfam family: Bacterial small subunit ribosomal RNA
Source: RNAcentral